RNAcentral lists this ribosomal RNA (253 nucleotides) under uncultured bacterium. Its description in RNAcentral is "partial 16S ribosomal RNA". It matches the Rfam family "Bacterial small subunit ribosomal RNA", at positions 524 to 776 of the family's 1533-position model. The record is from RNAcentral.
UACGGAGGAUCCAAGCGUUAUCCGGAUUUAUUGGGCUUAAAGGGUGCGUAGGCGGCUUGUUAAGUCAGGGGUGAAAGACGGUAGCUCAACUAUCGCAGUGCCCUUGAUACUGAUGGGCUUGAAUGGACUAGAGGUAGGCGGAAUGUGACAAGUAGCGGUGAAAUGCUUAGAUAUGACAUAGAACACCAAUUGCGAAGGCAGCUCACUACACAAUCAUUGACGCUGAGGCACGAAAGCGUGGGGAUCAAACAGG